CCCCUCUCAGGGUCGCACCUGGAGAGUUUCCAGUACUCUCCCAGUCUCGAAUGGGAGAGGGAGAGUCAAGCAGAGGCCUACCCGUUCCGUUCCUAGCUUGGCCAGUGGCUAGCGAGUGGCAGGCCAUCGGCAACAAGU
Molecule: small nucleolar RNA, 138 nt
Organism: Ornithorhynchus anatinus (platypus)
Lineage: Eukaryota; Metazoa; Chordata; Mammalia; Monotremata; Ornithorhynchidae
Source: RefSeq, a predicted model, not a curated record